Nicotiana tabacum (common tobacco) is the source of this 675-nucleotide long non-coding RNA. RefSeq lists it as uncharacterized. NCBI's taxonomy places the organism in Eukaryota, Viridiplantae, Streptophyta, Magnoliopsida, Solanales, Solanaceae. The record is from RefSeq and is a predicted model, not a curated record.
AAUAAGAAAAAGAUAACAUUACGAAAACCUAUCACUGGACGCUGGUUAACAAAAUUGCCGCGGCUUGCCACAAUCUCCGGCCUGCCACAAUCUCCGGCCUGCCACAACUCUGUGUAUCUUCUUCCCAAAUCCCACGUAACUUUUUCUUCUUUCCCAGGUUUCAAGAUUGCUGCAAAAAUGAUUCUUCUCCUUCACUUUUUUCUUUUAUCGGCAAAUAUUCUGCUCACCAGGUAAUUCAGAGCCAAGAAAGCUUCAUGGGCCUACUAUACUAAAAGAUAUUUGGAAACUUCCUCCGGGGAAGAUAGUUGAUGUGCCGUUUAAUAAUCGUAACCAAGCUGUUCGAGAAAAAGGUCGAAAGCUUGCUAGUUUUCUAGGAAUUAUUGCGACAACUCCAGAACUAACAUCAAGGAUACCUAGUGUUGCUGAAAACACUUCACUUUCUCACGGUCAUACAGUCUGAUGAUCGAUAAUUUAGUUGGUCGAAGAUUUCAACAUGAUGAAGAGUUGCAAAAAUUAUUUGAAGACUAUUAUUCGUUGGGAUUAGUCAUAUAAUGACAUUAGCUAUUUACUUCAAACAAUAUAAGUUUGUUUUUAAGUUAUUGUGAUAUUAAUAUUUUGGAUUAGUACUUUCUUUUGUUUGUUAAGAUUUAAUGAGAUACAUUAUGUUUUUAUGAA